AGGAACUCCAUCAUCCACACUUAGUCCCCUUGUUGCUAUCGCCCAGCGCCUUCGCACGCGAAACGUGCGCAGAUACACCUCUUCCAAUAACAUAACACCACAACAGUGGGUGUGUGUCUGUGCCCUUCAUGUCCUCCGAUCCGCAGCUCCGCCUCUCGAUGGCGAACCAGAGCAACGUGCCAAAGGAGUACGUUCGCGCUUUGGAUCCGCAGCUGCUUCCCCCGCGCGUGGGGCACAACUGGAAUGACCAGGCGUUUCGCUUCAAGCAAGGCAAGCCACAGCAGCUGGAGGCGGAGUUCCGCGGCACGCGCGUGUUUCCUGCCACGCGAAACAGCACGUUCCCAGCACCGGCCCCAGACAUGUGCCGCACUGCACAGCAGCUGGUCGAUGCCUUGAUGUCUUCUUCCCUCAACCGCAACGCCGCUACGCGCAAAGCUCGCGCUGCUGCGGAUUGGCGCCACGUGACACUGGAUGACAAGGUGCUGCGCUUCUACGCUUUCUUCAGCGAGCCGGCUCCCGAGGCGGGGGCGGCCUCGUUCUGGCACCGCAGGGUGGUCAUUAGCUUCUUCCCCGUCGACGACACAAUCCUCAUCGAGGAGCCGCGCAUCAUUAACAGCGGUCUUGACGGCGGCGUGUUUCUGAAGCGGCAGAAGGUGGUCGCCGAUCCGCGGCAGCGAGAACAGUUCCCUGGUGAGGAGUACGUGUCCCUCAACUUCUUUAACGUGGGAAACUCGGUGCGGCUCAACGCCACGGACUUCUUCUUGUACGACUGCGACGACUUCACACGUGACUUCCUCACAGCCCUCGGCAUCGAGGUGGGGGCGCCAGUGGAGUGCCCAGACGACCUGUUUAUGUCCGAGUACGGGCGAUAUCAGGAGCGGCUCAAGUCUGGCAAGUUCGGCUUGCUGUCUCAGGACUCUAGCGCAGAUGAGGUGGAGCAUUCCGUCCGCUUCAUCCGGGACGGUGGAAAGAUGCUCCGCUUCUACGCCAUCCUCGACGAGCGUGACAGCGUCCCUGCUGGGAUGGUGCGAAGGCUGGAGGUGAUGUUGUUUGUGGAGGACAACUCCAUUGCUAUUGUGCAGCGGCAGAGCUCUCCAGAGAGCUGCCAAGGCCUGUACCUGUCGCGAUGCUGGCUUCCCAAGAGUGGCUCGGUGGCCAAGGCGAACGAGCUGACGUUUGCACAUCGCGUGAACGGACAGCGCGAGCCGGACAUGGGCAUCCCAGACGCCUACUACCGCGACGUGGAUCUGGACGUCGGCGUGACUCUGAACGUCUUCGGCCGCUCAGUCCUCCUGUACGACUGCGAUGACUACACACGAGAAUUUUUCAUGGAGCGCUACGGCGUUUCUUUGCGGCCGCCUGUGGAUGUGUCGAGCUACUUUCAGGGAGAUGGGCGCCGAACAGUACUCGGGACAGAGGCACCAACGAAGAGCCUCCUUGGAGACGGUGUGAAGAGUGUGGUGGGGAAACCAGCUACCGCCGCGGACGCCGGAGACGCCGACGGAGGCGUCGCCGUCUCCUCGGCCAAUGCCGCCGCAGCGGCGAAAGGCACGCCGACUGACACGCUCCGUUUCCGUGCUGUGCUCGCCCGCCCCGCCAACCAUGACGACGAGCAGCGCCGCUUCACUGUCACUUACUACACCAACUCGGAGGAGUUCAUGGUGUAUGAGAGUGCGUACCCGAAGGCCGGCAUCAACGGUGGCUGCAUGUGGAAGCGAAGGAAGGUGAUGAAGAUUCCGCCGAAGCCUGGCCCACGCAACGCGCCGAAACAACCGGCCGUGCCGGGCGAGGUGCCACACUACACCCUCUCCGAUCUGGGUGAGGGCAAGGAGGUCGUCAUCAACGGUCUACCGCUGCGGCUUUACAGGAUGGAUGCGCACACCGCCACCUUCUACGCCCGCUGCGCCGGUACGCUGCCGGAGGACACUGCUGACGGGCCAGCGAUGGUGACGGAUGCGACGGGGGCGAUGGUGACGGUAGACCAUCUCGUCUCGGAGCUUCGCAGCUACCUUCACUCUCGAUAUGGAACUGGGGUAGCCUCGUUUAUGGCACUCGAUCGCGACCGCGACGGUAUUGUAAGUUUGCCCGAGUUCACGAUGGCGAUGAAGGCGUUCCAGAUUACGGAAGACAGGGGUGCCGCGGCUGCCAUCUUCGCGCAUAUCGCCCCCACACGCGACACAGCGUACUUCACUUCUGUAGACCUGAUGAAGUGGAUAGACGCCGUCGGCGAUGAGCACAGGACGGCAGGCUCUGUGCGAAUUGCCAGCAUGCCAAGCGGCGGCAGGGAGGCCGAGCUGAAGGAGAUUGAGCGGCGUGCGUUGCGCUCAAAGGUGCUGCGGGAGCUGAAGUCCCGCCUGGACGCACGGUGCUGGAAAGGGGCGGACAUGUUUCGCCUGGCGUCCACCAUGCCGCGUGCCUACCGUGGCCGUCGGGCUGACCUGUAUUCUUUCACGAACCCAGACCGCGACACAGUCAUCACUCCAGUGCAGCUGCGCCGCUGCAUCGAGGAGAUACUCACUGGCGCCCCCACCGCCGCGGAGAUGGCGUGUCUCUUAGAAUUCUUCUUUCCUACUCUGCCAGCGGAGGCCUACACUCAAACCCGCGACAACGGCACAACGUACGCCGUUGACUUGAACGAGUUCCAGAAGCGGUACUACGUGAUGACAAAGGAGACGAUGCUGCCGGACGACGAUGCCGCUGCCGCCUCAAGCUCGUCGCGAAGGGGGACAAGAGAGUGAGAGAGAGGAGUGGGCUUGUCUGUCGCUUCGCUUCUCUUCUCCGCACGCGCAUGGCUGGGUUUGGCUCGCUCCCCCUCCUCCCUCUCUCUUUCUCAGUCUCUCCUGCUGUUUGAAUGGAUUGUUUGCAGUGCAGGCGCGAGUGACGCCGUUGAUGCGGGCCACACCCUCCGUCGUUUUCGUUUCCUCUCCGUUCGCCCGGAUUCUCUACUCCUUUUUUUCAGUGGCGGCUGCUGGUUGUCGUUGCCAAUCUUGCCGAGCCGCAUGCGCAUAUGGCAGCGUCGGGAUGUCUCUCUCUCUCUAUCCCUCUGUGCAUCUGUUCACCUCUUUUUUUUUCUCCCUUGAAUGUAAACUACACAGCGGGCCCGUGCUGUGCUCCCCACUCCCCCCUUUCUCUUGCCUCCAGCAGCUUUCCUUUACCCGCAUGCCUUUUUCUGUUCGCUCUCCGUGCCGUGUUUUCAUCUCCUCUGCCACCCGGAACACGGGAAGGACAAAUUGGAAUCGUCAAAAGAUACGUGGCCUCCCCCCUCACGCCGCCACCCCCGCUCCACCUCCCCCUACCGGCCCUCCUCCAUGCAGGGACAUGCAGCAGGCA
RNAcentral lists this unclassified non-coding RNA (3330 nucleotides) under Leishmania donovani. RNAcentral describes it as "gene:LdHU3.08.1480(CDS-product:Repeat_of_unknown_ function_(DUF1126)_putative)". The record is from RNAcentral. Lineage: Eukaryota; Euglenozoa; Kinetoplastea; Trypanosomatida; Trypanosomatidae.